UACGGAGGGAGCUAGCGUUGUUCGGAAUUACUGGGCGUAAAGCGUGCGCAGGCGGUUUCGUAAGUCAGAUGUGAAAUCCCCGGGCUCAACCUGGGAACUGCGUUUGAAACUACAAGGCUAGAGUGUAGCAGAGGGGGGGUAGAAUUCCACGUGUAGCAGUGAAAUUCGUAGAUAUCGGGAGGAACACCGGUGGCGAAGGCGGCGAUCUGGGUCGAUACUGACGCUGAGGUGCGAAAGCGUGGGGAGCAAACAGG
This 254-nucleotide ribosomal RNA is filed under the name uncultured bacterium. RNAcentral's name for it is "partial 16S ribosomal RNA". It matches the Rfam family "Bacterial small subunit ribosomal RNA", at positions 524 to 776 of the family's 1533-position model. The record is from RNAcentral.